Molecule: ribosomal RNA, 253 nt
Filed under: uncultured bacterium
Lineage: Bacteria
Description: partial 16S ribosomal RNA
Rfam family: Bacterial small subunit ribosomal RNA
Source: RNAcentral
GACAGAGGUGGCAAGCGUUGUUCGGAUUUAUUGGGUGUAAAGGGUAGGUAGGUGGUUAUGUAAGUCUGGUGUGAAAUCCCACAGCUCAACUGUGGAACUGCAUCGGAAACUACAUAGCUUGAGUAUCAUAGAGGUGAGAGGAAUUCUCGGUGUAAGGGUGAAAUCUGUAGAUAUCGAGAGGAACACCAGAGGCGAAGGCGUCUCACUGGCUGAUUACUGACACUGAACUACGAAAGCAAGGGGAGCAAACAGG